Pimephales promelas (fathead minnow) is the source of this 391-nucleotide non-coding RNA. The record is from RefSeq and is a predicted model, not a curated record. Lineage: Eukaryota; Metazoa; Chordata; Actinopteri; Cypriniformes; Leuciscidae.
AAAGACCUAGAUAAAUUGAAGAACUGGGCUUUUGGGCCAUUAUCUUUUCUUUUGUUUCUCUUUUUUGUACAUUUGUUCACAGUUGCCAGCAUCUGUUCUGGAGGACAUUUUUAUUGAUCUGGUUCUCCAGGAGGGUGAUGAGGCAAUUUUGAAGCUGGCCCUUGUGUGCACUCGCUUCAGAGACCUUGUGACACGGGAAGGCUUCAGGAGACGAGCCCAUUUUCUUUGGCUUGAUAGUGUCACAAAUUGGACUGUUUUCUCACCGUACUACAAGGCGGAGUACUACAAAAUGUACAAACUGGAAACGUGUCGGCAAUGUGGAGACGUGUACAAACACUGCACUCCAGGAUAUGGAGGUCGAGGAAGAAAGGGGGAACUUUUUAGAAUGACU